RNAcentral lists this ribosomal RNA (308 nucleotides) under Clostridioides difficile. RNAcentral's name for it is "partial 23S ribosomal RNA". It matches the Rfam family "Bacterial large subunit ribosomal RNA", at positions 398 to 707 of the family's 2925-position model. Lineage: Bacteria; Bacillati; Bacillota; Clostridia; Peptostreptococcales; Peptostreptococcaceae. The record is from RNAcentral.
AGAUAUGAUCCAGAGUACCACGGGACACGUGAAACCCUGUGGGAAGCAGGAGGGACCACCCUCCAAGGCUAAAUACUACCUAGUGACCGAUAGCGUAUAGUACCGUGAGGGAAAGGUGAAAAGAACCCCGGGAGGGGAGUGAAAUAGAACCUGAAACCCUGCACUUACAAGCUGUGGAAGAACAUUUCUUGUGUGACCGCGUACUUUUUGUAGAACGGGCCAACGAGUUACGUUAAGUAGCCAGGUUAAGCACUUAAGGUGUGGAGCCGUAGCGAAAGCGAGUUUUAACUGAGCGUUCAGUUACUUGA